AGUUAAGAACACAAUCCAGCUUAGAGAACAUUACUAGUGAUUUAUAACACUCCACGAAUAUUGAACUGAACACUUUGUCCCAGAAAGUGAACAUCUUCCUCCAGUCACCAUGAAUAAAGUUCUACUGAUCGUCUUGGUCCUGGCAGUGCUGAUGGGUCUUGCCUGCGCUUACCCACAGGUGAUAAUUACACGUCAAAGGAAAUUCCCCGGAGAACGGCGCCUGGGGAGUGUCAACUACGGCCAGUACCGCUUCGGAAAGAGAGGAUACCAGAGGAAGUCCCAUUCUAGAAAGAGGAACUGAAAAGGAAAGCACAACAAACAACGCUUUUCUGGGCCAUGACACCUUGUCUUCCGAAGCCUCCAGGGGAACAUAAAGGGGGGGAGGGGAAGGGGGUCUGGGGGAGGCUUUGGUAAACAGGAAGUAAAUAAGUACCGUAGGCUAAGUAGGCGCCUCAGCAAUUGUUGAAAGACUGACCAUAAAAGUCGAAGAAACGCCUCAUGGGUACGAAUUAUCUACCUCUGCAGUCGCAAGCUGGACGGAAAGGACAGCUAGACGCCCCUACCUGCAGGAUAGAUAUGGCGGAACCCGAAUUGCUUCGCUAACACCGCUUUGUUACUAUAUUCCUAAAGGAUUUAUUAUUCCAUCAUCCUAAAAAGGACUCGAGACUACUUCAAGUCUAUCUCAAGCCAAAAAAUAUCUGAUUUAAACGUUUUUUUGUGUGGAUGUCAGCUAUGGGUUGAAAAGACAUGUGUAUAGUUGUUAUGGUUAUGUAGUUUUAUGUAGUUUUAUGUUGAUGUGGUUUAUGAUGAUUGUCUGAGGAUGUGAUGUUUUGUUUUUUUGAAUAUUGUUGGAUGUUCCUGUGUGAAUGUCUUUUAUUUAUUUACAAUGUAUGGAUAUUAAUCGCCCAGUAUUAUCCUAUGCUAUUUUGUUUAUUAAAGUUGUGUUAUUGUUAAUAUAAUAUUGACUAUUUUGUAAAUAAGUCAACACUAUAAGUAAAAUAAAUAUUUUCUUAGAA
Molecule: long non-coding RNA, 1016 nt
Filed under: Penaeus japonicus
Lineage: Eukaryota; Metazoa; Arthropoda; Malacostraca; Decapoda; Penaeidae
Description: uncharacterized LOC122261006
Source: RNAcentral